RNAcentral lists this ribosomal RNA (275 nucleotides) under Lactiplantibacillus plantarum. RNAcentral's name for it is "Lactobacillus plantarum partial 16S ribosomal RNA". The stretch from base 75 to 275 matches the Rfam family "Bacterial small subunit ribosomal RNA", at positions 104 to 298 of the family's 1533-position model. Lineage: Bacteria; Bacillati; Bacillota; Bacilli; Lactobacillales; Lactobacillaceae. The record is from RNAcentral.
CAUGCAGGUCGAACGAACUCUGGUAUUGAUUGGUGCUCUGCAUCAUGAUUUACAUUUGAGUGAGUGAGCGAACUGGAAGAGUAACACGUGGGAAACCUGCCCAGAAGCGGGGGAUAACACCUGGAAACAGAUGCUAAUACCGCAUAACAACUUGGACCGCAUGGUCCGAGUUUGAAAGAUGGCUUCGGCUAUCACUUUUGGAUGGUCCCGCGGCGUAUUAGCUAGAUGGUGGGGUAACGGCUCACCAUGGCAAUGAUACGUAGCCGACCUGANAG